This 65-nucleotide transfer RNA is filed under the name Strongygaster brasiliensis. Its description in RNAcentral is "tRNA-Pro". The record is from RNAcentral. Lineage: Eukaryota; Metazoa; Arthropoda; Insecta; Diptera; Tachinidae.
CAAGGAAUAGUUUAUUUAAAAUAUUAAUUUUGGAGAUUAAUGAAAAAGAGCUUCUUUUUUCUUGA